Molecule: unclassified non-coding RNA, 292 nt
Filed under: plant metagenome
Description: partial contains small subunit ribosomal RNA, internal transcribed spacer 1, and 5.8S ribosomal RNA
Source: RNAcentral
UUUCCGUAGGUGAACCUGCGGAAGGAUCAUUAUUGAAUAAACCUGAUGUGGUUGUAGCUGGCCCUUUCGGGAGCAUGUGCACACCCGUCGUCUUUAUCUUUCCACCUGUGCACCUUUUGUAGACCUGGAUGUAACACUUUCCGAGGCAACUCGGUCGGGAGGAAUGCUGUCAGCUUUCCUUGAAUGUCCAGGCCUAUGUUUUCAUAUACCCCAAAGAAUGUAACAGAAUGUAUUAUUGGGCCUUGUGCCUAUAAACUAUAUACAACUUUCAGCAACGGAUCUCUUGGCUCUU